UACAGAGGUCUCAAGCGUUGUUCGGAUUCAUUGGGCGUAAAGGGCGCGUAGGCGGCAAGGCAAGUCGGGUGUGAAAGCUUGGGGCUUAACCCCGAAAGGGCACUCGAAACUGCCCUGCUAGAGGGUCGGAGAGGAGAUCGGAAUUCACGGUGUAGCAGUGAAAUGCGUAGAGCUCGUGAGGAAGACCGGUGGCGAAGGCGGAUCUCUGGACGGCCCCUGACGCUGAGGCGCGAAGGCUAGGGGAGCAAACGGG
This 253-nucleotide ribosomal RNA is filed under the name uncultured bacterium. RNAcentral describes it as "partial 16S ribosomal RNA". It matches the Rfam family "Bacterial small subunit ribosomal RNA", at positions 524 to 776 of the family's 1533-position model. The record is from RNAcentral.